This 1172-nucleotide ribosomal RNA is filed under the name Zygonyx torridus. RNAcentral describes it as "partial 16S ribosomal RNA". Lineage: Eukaryota; Metazoa; Arthropoda; Insecta; Odonata; Libellulidae. The record is from RNAcentral.
AAUUAUUUCUUACUUAUAAUUUUUUUUUUAAUUGGAGAARAAUCUUUUUAUUUAGUAUUUUAAUGAAAAAUGAAUUUUUGUUAUAGUUAAUUAGUACUGUGAGGGAAUUGAUGAAAUAAUUGAAAAAUUAUUUUUGGUUAAGUAUACUUGAUUUGUAGUACCUUUUGUAUCAGGGUUAAUUAAAUAAUAAAAUUUAUUUUAAUAUCCCGAUUUUAAAAGAGCUAAUCUUUUAUUAUAGUUAAUGUUACAUAAUUAUUAUAAAUAGUGAUUAGAGGAGAAAUUUUAUUCGUUUUUAAGGGUAUCUGGUUUUUUAAGAAUUAAAUUUAAUUUAGCUUUAAUAUUUAAUUAUUAUAAUUUUUUAUACAGUUAUUUAUUAAAAUAAAAAUUAUAGGGGAUAAGCUCUAUAUUUAGUCUAAAAAUUUUUUAUUUAUUUAAUUUAUGUAGGUUUAAGAAUAUCCACCAUUAAUAAAAGUGUUAUAAUUUAUUUUUUUUAAAAAAAAUUUUUUUUAAUUGUUUUAGUAUAUUAUUAAAAUUUCAGAAUUAAUUUUUUAUUMUGAGUAAUAAUGAUUAAAUUAGUAUAAUUAUAUGUAUGAUUAAUUUUAUUUUAAAUGAUAAAAUAAGGAAUUCGGCAAAUUUAAUUCUCGCCUGUUUAACAAAAACAUGUCCUUUUGAGUUUUAUUGAAGGUCUGACCUGCCCAGUGAUGAUUUUAACGGCCGCGGUAUACUGACCGUGCAAAGGUAGCAUAAUCAUUAGUCUUUUAAUAGGGGGCUGGAAUGAAGGGUUUAACGAGGAAUUGACUGUCUCAUUUUAUAUGAAUUAGAAUUUAAUUUUUUAGUCAAAAAGCUAAAAUAUUAUUGGAAGACGAGAAGACCCUAUAGAGCUUCAUAAUUUUUGCUUAUAUAAUAUUAUAUUAAUUUUGUUAGGUUAAUAAAUUAUUUUGUUGGGGUGACAAAAAUAUAAAUUUAACUUUUUUAUUUAAAUAUCAUUGAUUUAUGUAUAUUAGAUCCAUUAUUAUUGAUUGUUAGAUUAAGUUACCUUAGGGAUAACAGCGUAAUCCUCCUCCAGAGUUCAUAUUUACAGGAAUGGGCUUGCGACCUCGAUGUUGGAUUAAGAGUAUAAUUAGGUGUAGCUGCUUAAAGUGUAGGUCUGUUCGACCUUUAAAUUCUUACAU